Carassius auratus (goldfish) is the source of this 256-nucleotide long non-coding RNA. RefSeq lists it as uncharacterized. NCBI's taxonomy places the organism in Eukaryota, Metazoa, Chordata, Actinopteri, Cypriniformes, Cyprinidae. The record is from RefSeq and is a predicted model, not a curated record. The transcript has 3 exons.
GAUUAUAUCCUCAAGAGAUGUGAUGAGCAGAAUAUCCUCCGUUACGUCAUCGGGGUGGGAAAUUUUGAUUUAACUUAUCUCUCUCAGAUGGCGUCAGAACCAAAACAGAGCAACACCUUAUUCAUUCAAAACUACACUCGACUUGAAGGACUUCUUGACAACCUGCAAGAAAAGAUCCACAAUAUUAAAGAAGCUCACAGAAGAAGCAGACAGAGAGAUUUAUCACAGAGUGGAUUCAGUGUCGUCUACCAGGAGG